Molecule: RNA transcript, 11904 nt
Organism: Bombus huntii
Lineage: Eukaryota; Metazoa; Arthropoda; Insecta; Hymenoptera; Apidae
Gene name: R3H domain-containing protein 1
Exons: 19
Source: RefSeq, a predicted model, not a curated record
GAUGCGUCAUCGGGAGGAAUAGCCUAGGCUGUCGCGUGCCGGAAGCCAUCAACUAGCCUGAAAGUAGCUCGAGAGUAUGUUUUAACCUUCGUUCCAACGUAACCCUGUGAAACUAAGGAACGUACAUUACCAUCCAUAAGUAUUUGAACAGCUGGUACAAUUCGAUUAAAACGUUCAUAUCCUUGUAAUAUUUUCAAUUUUUUUUUUAAUAGAACAACAUUUUUCUAGCGUUUGAUUCUUUGCUUCUUGCAUCGAGCCCCAAUGAUCUGCUAAAUUGGAACUGACAAGAAAAAUAUACGUAUCUACAUCAUUCAAGUUCUAUGUCUAUUUGAAUAACGAACGCAUGAAAUUUAUAUAAACCUUUAGAAACUAGUGGAUAGUUGAUCUCAUUUGGCCCAAGAUCCCAAUUUAAAAUCACUUAACUCAGGUUGCCUGAGAUAACGUACGAGACGAAAAUUAAUUAGUCAGAGAAUUUCAUUCGAAGUACGUUUUACAUAUUUGCGGUACAUUGAGAGUGUACCAAGGAGUACUGAAAUACUUAUGGACGGUAUUGUACCUUCUUUUCCCUUUUUGUUUCUUUACUUUCGUUUAACCGAUACCGGAGACCCAGUUCUUUCUUCAAAGGAGGACACCCUGUAUUAUUCCAGGGGAUACAGAGGUGCAUGACCUAGUUACGCUUGGGCGUGUUAUAUGGGUCAUAGACACCAUUCGCAGCGAAUCAUACGUGCACACGUACCCACACAGGGACACGUAUUAUAGUCUAGAAAAUUAUGAUAGUUUCCACGGAAACGUGAUCCUGCGAAUAUGGGGUAGUAAAAGUUUUAUAACUCACCUACUAUAUCUUGCAAUUAUCAGGCAUGAAUUUACUUCUGGAAACGGAAAUACGGCUUUUAGAUGAACAACCGAAGUCGAUCGAUGUUUCUGCAUAAAUUGUUUCUCCGAUUUUUCUCUAUUUUUAAUUGCCAUUUUAAUUAUCCAGUAGUAUAUAUUGGUAGCAUCGAAGAAGCAUCCUCGAGAUCAUUUUAGAAAAGAAAAUUCCACGAGUACAGAUAGCUCUUUAAAGUGUCCUUUUUCAACGAGGAGCUUUUCAGCGGAUCAGAGCUAAAAGGCACGAACGGAAAAAUACAGGAAGAGGGAAGCAGUUGAGGUUUGCAAUGAAAUUGGCUAUCUGGGCUCUAUCAGUAAGCUCGCGUGUGUAUUGCAAAGGCAAUUUGUAACUUUCUAGUACUUUCUACCAUCGUGUGAUCGGUGCAUAUCCAGGAACGAUUAACAGUAACCGCAUCGAUCAUUUCUAUCGAAAUCAACGUUCUAUAGUUUAAAAGAUUCUCUCACGAAGCUGUUGUCUCUGUACGUGUUACUCUCUCACUACCAAGAUCAUGUUCCUGUACUAUUUUAAAGCUUCGAGCUGACACGAAAUACUUCCAAAAUAUAGGCUGGAAGAUCUUAGGGUACCAGGAUUCUCUUGCGCAAUUGGAAUAUUGUCCUUAAUAGAAUUUUACAAGUUACAAGUUACGAAUUAGCGUUACAAGUUAACGCUAAUAAAUUUGCUUGCGUAUCAGCACCAAAUUUGGUAGCGAGGCGAAUGAAACUCUGCAAGCGAAUUUUACGAAUUUCGAUUUCUAGUAUUUUACGAACUGAUUUUUAUUCAGCGACAGAUUUUAAAAUUAUAAAAUACAAGCCUGUAUAACUUGUAAACUAUGGCUGCUCAAUUCGAUAUCGUUAUUAGUUGGCAAAUUAUUGUAUUGUAUUGAAAUGGUUCAGAAAUCAUAAUUUCAUCGUAAAAUGUACAGCGUAGGAUAAUUAAAAUCACCGUAAAACAGUGAUUCACUCGACACCCGGUACACUCGAAAUACGCGCACGCGUGCACUUGCCCGGCGCACGGACUCUCUUCUUUCUCUCUUCCUCUGCUCUGCCCAAGACCAUUCCUUCUCGCUCUUCAUUCUCAUGUCCCCUUCCUUCCCAUCUUCGUCGGGAAUUUUUCAAUUCUCCCCUUGUAUUCGUUUUUUUUUCUACCCUUUCCAUCCCCUUCUCUGGAUCUCUGGAUGGCUGAAUCGUUCUCUCUACCUCUCUUACUCUGUCCCUCCCCCUGACAGAGUCCGUCUCGCGCGCUCUCGAUAUCGCUCUCCUCGUCGAGUCCGCGAUUCGAGGGACCGCGCCGCGUUUCUCUCUCAGUCUCUCGCGCAAAGCGGUUUCGUGGCGACGUACCGUUGCACACGAUAGAUUGUGGCUGGUCCGGGUCUCCUCUACGUGUGUUCCUGUGUGUAGUCUAUCUUUCUUUUCCCUCUUGUCAACCCUCUUUUCAUUCUUUCGACUCGAUUGGAUAGCGACAGUUUCUCAGGCCCUUCCAUCACGACCCCCUUUGCUUUUCUUUCCACGUUUGUACCCUCUUCCUGCUGGAAGAUGACCGUGCUGGUGGCUCAGUUCGCGGGGGACCAUGGAUCACCGUAAGAAAGAGACGCGGUGGUUGUCUGUCGCGACUGGUGCUCGAGAUAGCGGCGAAGAAGGGAUCACAGGCCGACAGAGAAAGAGUGUAUUGCUAUUUUCGAGACGCCGUGGAGCCCGGCCAACGUGUGCGUCCGGUUUACGAGCUUUACGAGUGUAACCACGAAGCUUUGAAAAAGAGAAAUUAAGAAUCGUGAAAGGUGAAAGGGUUUCGGUGUACGAGGCGAAGAAUAGAUUUCGACGACGAUGAUCGAUAAGCUGAUAGUGAAUCGUGCUUGGUUUAUCUUGGAUUCAAGACUGUGAAUAAUGUUGAGUUUGGUCAAGAGAGAAGAGAAAAAGAGAGGAUGUCUCGAACGAAGACGUAGCCGUGUUUUCGAGUCACUUUGUCGCGAUGAUUCCUACUCUUUGUCAAUUAAUCGUCAUGGAGAUUGGCCUCUGGAGAGUGUACGAUGUUGGAAGGUGGACGUGCAGUGACUUGGCUCCUUGUAUCAGCCCUACGAGCUGCACGUCACCCGAAAGAUUCACGUACUAACCCAGUUGCACCUGUUUGAACCCACCAGUUGCAGAGUCCUGCACCGUAACCCCAUGACGCAUUUAACACAUGGCCCGCCUGGAGAUACCAAGUAUAGUGGUGCAUAAAGGCAGCAGGUCGCAUAGCCGACCUGAGAGUCCCACGGUGGUGGUGCGAGGAGGAAUGCCCUCACUGCCAUCCUCUAGGCAAGGCUUCGUCAUAAGUGGCUCCAAUACAUCAUAUCAGAACAGCUCGGAGUCGGAUAUGAUAGACGGGAAUGCCAAUCCGAAUGUCAGCUCUUCUCCUACACAGAAUUCUCUCCACCGCAGCUCGCCCUCUUGUCCUCCUGACAAAUCAGACUCAGAGAACAAGAACUUUCGUACCAGGACGAAUACGAAAGUUAAGUUGCUGGUCAGGAGCCAUGCUAUGAGAGAGUCGACGUCUCCCCCAAGGGAGCCACACAACGGUUCGUCGUCUCCACAUAGCCCUCAGUCGGUGGACGGUGAAAAGAAGUUCGUGGGCAACCUGUCUCCAAAUUCCACUAACGUGAAGCUUAAUAACAACGAGUCAAUGUUCAACAGUAAUCUUUGCCCGAAUCAAUCUCCCAAACAAAUGCGUAAUACAGCCACUUCACCUACCUGUCGAGCUCCGUCACGAAAUGGUCAAUCUAGUCCCUCCCAAAUUCACUCACCAAAGAAUAAUACCUCUCCAACGAACGGCAAUAAGUCGGAGAACCAACGUUCCAAGAUGACAGGCUCGCACGUGAUUCAAAAAUGCAAUAAUUGCGUAAAGAACAAUCAAAAUGAACGACCCGGCUUGCUUCAGACGCCCGUGUCUCCGUCGAAGGCUGGGCAGGCGUUGCAACACUCGCCAAAGAGUACCAAUCUGGCUCAAAACGCGCAAAACAAUCAGCAGAAGAUGGAACAACGUAGACCAAAUACGUUGAAUAUUUGCAACAACCAGUGUUCGACGCAGUGCGGCAAUACCUUGUCCGUGAGCAGACCUAGCUCGCGGCACAAGCUGAGGCAUCAGAAUUCCUCUCAGGGUAGCUUUGACAGCGCGUCUCCUUGCCUCUCACGAGAUAGUAGUACAGAAUUGUAUACGGACAGUACUGGAAUAGAUCUGGAGCAUUUCAUCGCGGAAACUAUAAAUCGUAACCAGAAGGAUCGCACGGUGCUAUUAAAAAUCGAGAAAGAUCUGAUAGAAUUCGCAAAAGACAAGCAGAAAGUCUGUCAUAAGUUUCCAAACAUGUCUUCUUACAACAGAAUGCUAGUGCAUCGCGUGGCAGCUUACUUUGGCAUGGAACAUAACGUAGAUCAGUCUGGUUCCAGCGUGAUAGUUACCAGAACGAAAAACAUGCGAAUUCCAAAUACUCGUUUUAAGGAACACAUCAGAGACGAUCUGAUUCUGUCUGAAGAACCACGAAGAAGUAUUCUGAAGAGAGAUUCUAGCUCAUUCGAAGACAAUUUCAAUUUUAAGUCACCUGACAGAUUAUCUGGCGAUUAUUGCCGACAGAGUAAGAGUUUCGAGGAAAGGGAGGAGGAGUAUGAACGUGCCAGACGAAGAAUAUUUAAAGAUAGCAGUGGAGAAAGUAGCGAAGUUACUUCCUGGCCUUACUGGUCUUCUUCAGAAAGUUCUGACGCUUCUGCGAGAUAUCGUUUGUUACAUCCUUCGGAUCAUACGAUGAGGCUAUGUUGCGUAUGUAAUAGGCAAACGAAGCUCUUGAAAGGGGAAUCUUUCGAUGGAAGAGAAUCCUGUCGAGGAUCCGUAUUGAGGCCAUCUGUUUCCAAGUCCUUUAGUUUCGGUGGUUACACCAGGGGAAUGCUUUCUAGAGGGGACAGUGUUACAUCCACUCAUAGUGCUGGGGCUCGCCUUAUGAAGCAAGAGAUUAAAUCUGUUGCAGACUCAGGUGCUAGUAUGUGUUCACGACUAAGUCCUUCGAGUAGCGGCUAUAAAUCGCAAAGCCAACGCAGCGAUGCCACGAUAUCGCCGUCUCCUUCGCCAUCCCCUGUGGCAACCAUGACCUGCAGUCAUACCCAAGUAUCUAGUCAGGAUCUCGCUUCUCCGGAAUCGAAUAAUCAAACGGUGAUGUGGGCGGUUACCAGUAUAUCCAGUGUACCGCCAGGUAGCAUAAUCAUAAAUCCGCAAACGAAUCAGCCGUAUACCAAUCCAGAUGGUUCGAUUUACCGCUUCGACCCAGAGAACCCACCAAAAUUUUAUACUGCUGCAUUGCCGCACGAAAACGAAAGGAAUAACAUGUCGCCCAGCAAGACCGUAGAAGUAUCCGAGCCACCCAAAAUAACACAAAAUAACACAAAGAACGAAAAUAAAAAGAGGUCGCAGACUAAGCAGCACAACGGUGGUAACACAACAGCAGUGACUCAUGUGACGAACUCGGCGACAUCACCGAGUUUGCCGUUCACGCCGCCACCUCAACAGAAUCCAGGAUCAUUGCAACAACCGCAACAACAACAACAGCAACAACAACAGCCGCAGCAGCAACAAACUCUAGUCAAAUCAUCGUCGACAGUGCAAACUUGCAAUCACAACCAAGCAGCUCAACCAUACACGACCUACGUACCUACCUCAGAACCGUAUAAUCAAGGUGUCUAUCCACCCUCUGUGGGACAACAGACUGUGAUGAUGGCUCCUCAUCCGAGUCAAAAUCAGGCGAACGUUCAAAACAAUGGUCAGGGUGAUGUAUUUAAUCAGAAUUCGGUUUACGCGAAUUAUGCAGUACCUGUGCAACAAGGACCAGUGUCGCAGACAACGGAGAUAACUGAAUUGUCCGGAUAUUUUAUGGGUAUGAGCAUCUACGAUCAACGCGUGACUGGUGAUAACCAUUCUACGCCGCCGCACUCUUACCCACAAUCGCAACCAUCUACAAAUCAAGCAGUUCAAAAUGUGCAGACGAUGCCGCAGAAUUACUGGCAACCACCACCUAAUUCUGUACCGGCACAACAGACGAUGUACUUCGUACCUCCGCCUGGUGCGGCACUUUCAGUCAGUCAGGGUCCAGGUGAUAGACAGCCAUUGCAUCAACAACAGAGAUUUACGACAAAUUAUUCUUUCAAUGCACAAACUAUGACUCCUCCGAGCCAAUCAAAUUCUAAUUACGUGGCUAGUUAUCCAGUCCCUUACAAUUCAAUGCCCGCUGUAACACCAGGACCAGGGGAUUACACGUAUCAACCAUCAGUUCAUAUGGUACCUACGUAUUAUCCUCCAGGUCAAACGACGAUUCAACCACCACCUGUCAUGUACAGAGUGCCGACACCACCAAAUACUCCGACUUCUAAUCAGAUGCCUGGAAUGCCACUGAUGUACGUCAACUCUGGUAGCUAUCCGCCACCAACGAUGGUAUCCAAUGGAACAUUUGGCCAUCAAGUCGGACACAAUGGCACAUCACCUGCACCUCCUGGAACUUAUAUGACUCCCGCGCUGGUUCCCAAUCUCGUUUUUAGGCAAAAUGUUCCUGUUGUUGCUGGUGUACGAGCUUCAACGCCAGGUAACUCUCAGAGAACUAGCAGGUCGCCGACUCCAGCACACGAGCUGUUCGGAAGUGGGAGCGGGGACAGAAGCGCACAACCCCAACCACGCUACCCACUGCCAAUGUAUCAGGGUGUCCAUAUUGUACAAGGAGAUAUGAGAUUGAUGCAUCCCGCAGUACCAGCCAAUCCACGGUUGCAGUAUGCACCAGUACCAUCACCACCUGUUGUUCAAGGUUGUCCACGACCGUACCGACCGCCUUCUUAUUCGUCGAAUACCUCAGGCGCUGGUACACCAACCUCGUUUGAUGGAAGAAAUCAGAAAAUUCGUAAACAGAGGUCCAAAGUAGCAUCGUUGCCACCAACAGGCGUGCGGCCCAAUCUUUAUCAGACUCCUUCCAUGCCGUCGCUCUCGUCUAACGUUCCGAAAGAUAUCAGAGAAGCGAAACCUGUGGAAGACAAUAUGAUAUAAGGUACAGAACUUCAGUAUAAAAUACUACAAAAAGAACACACGGUAUCUACAUUGUAACGGACCGUGAAGGUGACAAUCACCCGCCGAAACCAACUGGUACAAUAUUAAGUACCCGGGCCAAUUUUGGAAGAGGAUCAGUGCUGAAUGUAAAGAAAAAGACAAUUAUAUCGUUACAGGCUAAUUGAGAAGAACUGAAUGAGCAGCUCGUGGUUUACCGCUAUGCAUACAUGAUUCUUAUUAUUAAUAUUAAUAAUACUUUUAAUUAAAUAUCUAAAAGAAAAGAAAUAUAAAAAGCACACACUACUAGAAUAUAAAAAUUCACGUAUUAUAAAAAUCGAAAAAGGAACAAACAAGAUUGAAAAUCACCCCUAAGAUAAAAAUGAAAAUGUUAUACAUCUCUUUUGAUAAAAUGCGGUGACCGAUGAAACUAACAUAAAAUAAAGAAGAAGGAAAAGGAAGACACAUUGAAAUUCGUUCAUACCGAUCAUAUAAUAAAAAUCUGAAUUAUCAGAAUAUUCAAAAGAGAGAAAUGAAGCAGAGGAAAAUGUACUGAGUGCAUAAAGGAAGGAUAAUCUGUGCGUUGUUCUUUGGCGUAGGGCACGAUAGACCCAGUGGUACACACCGAACAGAGUUACUGAACAGAAUUUUAACUAUUACAAUUAUUAUAUAUUAUAUAUACAGUAUAUUAUAUUAUAUCUGGAGAUAUUUUAAUCGCGGUUUUACAGAUACUAUAUAAAUGUGAGAUUUACUUUUAAGAGAAGGUACUUUUAAAAUGAACACAGAUAUAUACGCAUGGAUUGCCUGGCCCGGUCUACGGAUCACUCUCGACCGGCUAGGAAAUCCUCAUUAUAAAUAACGAUAAAACUAAUGUACGAGUAUUAUAUAAUACACGUUACUGAGUACGUUUACAGUAGCAAUCGCAAACGCUGUCCAGCCAGAAUCUCUGGAUCGGCUCUACGUUCUUUCAGGAAUGAUCAUUGCUCAUUGAUUCUUCUGUGUACUGCCAUCAAAGAGUUGCGUUAAUCUUUAAAAAAAAAGACAAAAGGAAAAAGUAAAAAAAAAAGAGAGGAAAGAAGUAGGAAGAACAGAACAGAACAAAAAUAUUGCUGCCAGUUGUGACUCGCGGAUAGGAAUGAAAUUAUUUGCUACCUCAAUUUUAUAUCGAAAAGAUUUUUCAUGUUAUCGGCCUUUUAUGGAGUUGUGAAUUCUUCCAAGAAAGCUUUCAAUUCUUUUCAUUCGAACACGAGAGUAACCAUAAUUUCAUCGAAUAUUUAAUGAUACUUGCAACGUGAUUUAUUGUAUAUAAGUAUUGCGUAAACGAAAUGUUUCAUCAGGGAGAUAAACGCGAUUUAUAUUCGAAAGGUUCCCUCUGGCAUAAUAAUCGUCUCCCUGAUAUCCUGCAUUCUAAGAUUCGCUAACGCUUCUGAUCUCUGACGAUUACUUUAGUACAAGUUAAUGUAUCGCUGGAGGAGAAAAUGUAAACGUAUUCAGUACAUGGAUCUAUAUACCUAGUUCGACACAAGUAGAUAAGUAGCGCGAAACCAUCACAGCUUAGUGUCACGAAAGAAAACCUCACAUACGUCUUUAAAAGAAAGCCAUUCUUUCUCUUUUUCCGUUGAUCGUCCGUAAAUAGGGAAUUGAUGUAAAGUUUUAGCCGAUACGAGACGCGCACGUUUAACGACAAUUCUGUAUUAUUUUGUAAGGUUUCCCCACGAGGGGAAUGAACAUGAAAACGCGACAGACGCUCCAUACAGUAACUAUGAUUCGUCUUCCAAGCUUCACAGCACGCUUCUGAAUCCUAUAGAUAUCCGAACUACGUAAUUAGAUAUACUUUUCACGCCCGAUUCUACGAAGAAGUAAUAUGUAAUUAGUUUGGCAGCGGUGAUGGUGACGCGUGAUCGUCGUAAUUAAUAAUGUCUCCGUCUGUGAAAAAAGUUCAUUUGCGGAUCAACGUAGACGAUCUUCAUAUCGCAAUUAACAUUCAUUUUUAGUUAAUCGAUCUACUAUCCAUAACAAUGCUAAAUCUAAGUUCAAUAUUUUAAAUAUCAUUUCUAUUAAGUUUUUAGUAAGGCGUGUACGUUGCUCCGCAUGAGAAAUACCAAGUGGAAUCCAUCCAGAAGCUUCGCUUACGGUGAUUGUACUUCAGGACGUAGGUGAAGGGUGUGCCUAUCUUUUUAUGAGAUUUAAUUGAAAAAAAUGCGCGCACCGCGACCUUUUAUCUACCCUAUGCCAAGCGACGCGAAAGAGAGGCACUACUUUCUUCAUAAGAAAGCGUGAUAAAUUUAUCUAAAGAUCUCUAGAUUUAAAAAGAACCGAAAGAAAAAAAAGGUAAAAAAAAGAGGGAGAAAGUGAGAGUGGAAACGAGAGAGACCUGAGCAGAAUAAAUAUUAGACGGAUUAAAACUAUUCAAAUGUUUCAAUUAUAAAGAGAUGGGCGCACAACAAAGUAGUGUUUAACCGUACCUAAAGUCGUCGUAGUGAUUAAUGAAGAUAAUUGUACCUAUAACAAAAAAACAACAAAAAAAAAGAAAAACAGUUCACGAAUCUCUCUAAAACUUAAUUAACAAAAGAAGGAAAGGAAAAAUGUGAAACAGGAUUAUAAUAUCGAUUAUGGAGAGAAACCGCUUGCAAGUGACGUUCACCAUUUUUUUUCGCCACAUUGAAAUUCAUUAUUUUCAAAUGUUAUUCAGUCUACGUAAUUUUAUGAUAUUUUUAUAAUCAAUUACGAGAACAAGAUGCGAGAAUACGAUUAAAGAAAAAGAAGUGCAUAAUGUGUAUAAUGAUAUAAUUUAUGGUCGAGCGUUAUUUGCAGGCAGUCGCGCUUACGUCGUGCAACCGGAGCAGCUGAACCAAAGUCAUGAUUGUAAUUGCAUAGUCACAUUUAUUUAUUUUUCAUUUCGCUCGCAUGCGCUUUUAUCAGAAAACUCGAUGCAUCUGCUGUUGCACCACGCUCGUGAUUCGUUCCGCUUAACACGUUCUGCAGGAACGUUUUCUUUCGGUGCGUUCUUAUUUUAUAAUAAAUCGCUUUAUUUAAUAUACACAUGUGUUAUACGCUGUGGAAGAAAGAGUUGAGAGUCUAGAGAUGUGAUUAGCAGGUGUAUCGAGCACUGUUCACAAGUGAUUUCGUAAGUUCGCCUGGGCUAUUGUAGAAAUGCAAGAGGAAAAAAACAGAGGGACGAAGAAGGAACGAGAGAAUCGACGAAAUCAUUCGUUUACCGGAUGAUGGGCUCAAGGGAUAUUAAAAACUAUGUACGAUCGACGAAGAGAACGGGUGAUAAAGUCAUUGUAACCUCACGUUCGUUUCCUACUAUUUUUGUAUGCAACAUAAAAAAAGGAGAUUGACGAUAGCGAGAGAAUUAAAAAAAAGAAUAAAAUGAAGAAUUCGUGUGUGAGAGAGUGGGAGAGGAUGAACGAUGAAGGGUGAAGAGAAUAUGAAACAAAAAACAAACAAAUUGAAAAUGAGGAUGAGUACGAAAGAAUGAGCAUAUGAAGUUUUUCGAAGCUUUUUCGUUUGGAGAUCCUCGCAUCUUCCUGAUCACCUUCCGUUGAUUGCGUCGCCACGUCGAAGACUCAUUAGCCUUUAAGUGUAACCGGGUGCCUGAAAAUUGAUUAAUUUUUGCGCCACGAUUAGCUGAUCCCAAUAAAAUACCGGCACGCGGCUAAAACUUUUCCGCCAUGUGAGGAGUGUAAUCAAACUCUUUCAAUUGUUAUCCGUGCUCCACGAGAAGCGAUAGGAACUUUCUAUUUUUGAGAAGAGAAGAGUAAAUUAGUUGAUUAUUUUCGCGGCUAAAACGCCACACAAGUUAGCUUUUCAGUUUGUAAUCGCGUAAAGAAGUUCUGGCAACUUCAUCCUGUCGCUUCUUGUGCGUCGCAUCCGCAAAUAGCGCGUUGGAUUGGAGAUCGGCGACCCUUUGAUUUGAUUUGAUUUUUUCUUAUCGUUCUUUAUCGUUUCCUCCAUUGAACACUGUGCGGGACGCAGAAUAAAGAGUAGACGACGAUUCGUUCGUUGCCGAUCUUUUUAGAUGCUAGUUGGCGUGAACUCGACGUCUCACAUCAAAAAAGAAAAAUCGUUAUCUUGCAAGAUCGUUUUUCACAAUUAGUGAGUAUGGAAUGCGAUGUCCCAUGGUGAAUACAUCUGAAAUGUCGAUUGAUCUUGACUGCGAAUAUAAAUGCAACAAACAAGGUUCAGACGAGCUACACUUGCGUAUUUGUAUUCUUUCCAGAUCACACCUGAUUGUUUCUUUUACGUUCGACAUAUCACGUGGAACAAGAGUAAACGAUGGCUGUGCCUUUAUGCUUAAUAUUAUAAUUUAGAGUUUUCAUUUGGACUGAGAUUUCUGUGCAGGAUAUCUUCAGAUCGUUUCUUGUCCUGUGAAAAGGUUGAAUGUUAAUAUUUAUGUAUUAAGAAAUAAGAAGAUGAUUCAAAUGUAUUCACUGAUAACAUUGGGCCAAACACUGUGUCAAGAUGAUGGUUAACUCUUUGAGUCUCAGAGAGAGUAAAUUUUCUUUGAAAUGUUUGGUCCUUUUUUGUAUGAAAAAUUCUAUGAUUUGCAUUAAUUUUGUGGAAAAAGAGUUUCCAUAUUUUGUAUAUAAUUUUAAAGAAAUGUAUGUGUAAAAGGCAUAUGUAGGAUAUAUACAUAGGCUGAUCCUCAAAGAGUUACAUAGGGAAAAGAUGAUUGAGGGAAAGCGUGAGUGAGUGUGUGUGGGAAGAAAAGAGGAAUAACAAAAGAAAACCUACGACGAAUCGAAGAAUUCGUAUGCAUAUGCAUCACGAAGGUGACCGAGAAGGUGAAUGAAAUUAGGAAUCGUAUGAUGGAAACAAAAGAGCUAUACUACCAACCCAAAGAUGCACAACAUCAUAGAGAGCCGGACAAUUUGAUAGAACUCAUGUCAGUCUAAUUAUAUUUCUUGUUAUAUUAUAUACAUAUAUAUAUCAUAUUUUCCAAAAACGAAUUAUAUAUAAUUCAAUAAAAAAGAAGACACUCUCGUUUGAUA